CCUACGGGUGGCAGCAGUGGGGAAUAUUGGGCAAUGGGCGCAAGCCUGACCCAGCAACGCCGCGUGAAGGAAGAAGGCUCUCGGGUUGUAAACUUCUUUUAUCAGGGACGAAGCAAGUGACGGUACCUGAUGAAUAAGCCACGGCUAACUACGUGCCAGCAGCCGCGGUAAUACGUAGGUGGCAAGCGUUAUCCGGAUUUACUGGGUUUAAAGGGCGUGUAGGCGGGAAAGAAAGUCAGAUGUGAAAACCAUGGGCUCAACCUGUGGCCUGCAGUUGAAACUGGUUUUCUUGGGUACUGGAGAGGCAGACGGAAUUCCUAGUGUAGCGGUGAAAUGCGUAGAGAUUAGGCGGAACCCCAGUGGCGAAGGCGGUCUGCUGGACAGCAACUGACGCUGAGGCGCGAAAGCGUGGGGAGCAAACAGGAUUAGAUACCCUUGUAGUC
This 443-nucleotide ribosomal RNA is filed under the name uncultured bacterium. RNAcentral's name for it is "partial 16S ribosomal RNA". It matches the Rfam family "Bacterial small subunit ribosomal RNA", at positions 338 to 795 of the family's 1533-position model. The record is from RNAcentral.